CAAUAGCGUAUAUUAAAGUUGUUGCAGUUAAAAAAGCUCGUAGUUGGACUUCUGAUGUGGGACUGCGCCCCGGUAUUUUGCCGUUGGGUGCGGGCUCGCGUCUUCCUCUCGUAGUUGGAUGGUGCACUUAACUGGGUGCCUUCUGAAUAUGGGACCUUUACUUUGAAAAAAUUAGAGUGUUCAAAGCAGGCAAUCGCUUGAAUAUAUUAGCAUGGAAUAAUAACAUAGGAUCUUGGUUCUAUUUUGUUGGUUUCUAGGACUAAGAUAAUGAUUAAUAGGGACAAUUGGGGGCAUUCGUAUUGCGGUGUCAGAGGUGGAAUUCUUAGAUUACUGCACGACGAACUACUGCGAAAGCAUUUGCCAAGGAUGUUUUCAUUGAUCAAGAACGAAAGUAAGGGGAUCGAAGAUGAUUAGAUACC
Molecule: ribosomal RNA, 419 nt
Filed under: uncultured eukaryote
Lineage: Eukaryota
Description: bacterial SSU rRNA
Rfam family: Eukaryotic small subunit ribosomal RNA
Source: RNAcentral